This is a ribosomal RNA of Danio rerio (zebrafish), 118 nucleotides long. Lineage: Eukaryota; Metazoa; Chordata; Actinopteri; Cypriniformes; Danionidae. The record is from Ensembl.
UACCACAGCCAUAUCAUCCCUGCAGCCGAAGGCUGGUUACUCACUGAAGCUAAGCAGGGCUGCGCCUGGUCAGUACUUGAAUAGGAGACCACAUAGGAAAACUAGGUUGCUGUUGGAA